UACGGGGCGCGCUUGAUGGGGAAUUUUGGACAAUGGGGAAACCUGAUCCAGCCAUCCCGCGUGUGCGAUGAAGGCCUUCGGGUUGUAAAGCUUUUUGGCGGAAAGAAGCGGCGCAGGAUAAUACCACGUGCAACUGACGGUACCUGCAGAAUAAGCACCGGCUAACUACGUGCCAGCAGCCGCGGUAAUACGUAGGGUGCAAGCGUUAAUCGGAAUUACUGGGCGUAAAGCGUGCGCAGGCGGUUCGGAAAGAAAGAUGUGAAAUCCCAGAGCUUAACUUUGGAACUGCAUUUUUAACUACCGAGCUAGAGUGUGUCAGAGGGAGGUGGAAUUCCGCGUGUAGCAGUGAAAUGCGUAGAUAUGCGGAGGAACACCGAUAGCGAAGGCAGCCUCCUGGGAUAACGCUGACGCUCAUGCACGAAAGCGUGAGGCAAACAGGAUUAGAUACCCGUGUAG
RNAcentral lists this unclassified non-coding RNA (456 nucleotides) under uncultured Bordetella sp. Its description in RNAcentral is "partial 16S-23S ribosomal RNA intergenic spacer". It matches the Rfam family "Bacterial small subunit ribosomal RNA", at positions 340 to 793 of the family's 1533-position model. The record is from RNAcentral. Lineage: Bacteria; Pseudomonadati; Pseudomonadota; Betaproteobacteria; Burkholderiales; Alcaligenaceae.